Molecule: small nucleolar RNA, 136 nt
Organism: Rattus norvegicus (Norway rat)
Lineage: Eukaryota; Metazoa; Chordata; Mammalia; Rodentia; Muridae
Source: Ensembl
CCCCUUUUAAAAGCACUCCGUGGGCCUUUUGCUAAUGACCUGCUGAGCCGUCAAGAAGGGGCAGAGUUAAAACACCACUUUUGGGUGAAGUGGCAACUUGUUGUGUUGUUUAACUUCAAUCAGUGAUGUGACAAGA